GCAGAGGUGGCGGAAUGGCAGACGCGCAGGUUUCAGGUACCUGUGGUGGCAACACCAUGUGGGUUCAACUCCCAUCCUCUGCACCA
This 86-nucleotide transfer RNA is filed under the name Clostridiales bacterium. RNAcentral's name for it is "tRNA-Leu". It matches the Rfam family "tRNA". Rfam says of the family: Transfer RNA (tRNA) molecules are approximately 80 nucleotides in length. Their secondary structure includes four short double-helical elements and three loops (D, anti-codon, and T loops). Lineage: Bacteria; Bacillati; Bacillota; Clostridia; Eubacteriales. The record is from RNAcentral.